Molecule: non-coding RNA, 479 nt
Organism: Paramuricea clavata
Lineage: Eukaryota; Metazoa; Cnidaria; Anthozoa; Malacalcyonacea; Plexauridae
Source: the annotation of a GenBank genome assembly
AGGUGGUCUUUUUAGUUAUUUGGUUCAUUUCUUAAUUUGGGCACUUUUUAACACUCGUCUCCAGUCCUCUCAUCAACUUCGGAAUGGCUAAUUGGGCGCGAUAACACGACCAACACGACCUUUUAGCUAAUACCUUGAUGAGACAUAUAUUAGGUAAGGAGAUAAUUGACCACUUUACAUGCCCGUUUCAGACCAUGUGAUGUUCUUCUUUUUUCAUCGCUUUGUCUUUAUGCAUUUUCGCUUUUAUAUUGAAAUAUUGAUAAUAUACAUGAAAACAUUUCUCAAUUCUAUAAGAGCAGUGCAAUUUUUUCGAAAUACAGUGCCAAAAAAUAAAAUACAGUGCAAAAAAAUAAAAUACAGUGCCAAAAAAUAAAAUACAGUGCAAAAAAAGAAAUACAAUGCAAAAUUCAUCGACUAUUUAGGCUUUCUGAUUGGCUUAAAAUAUCAAAGAAUAACAAAGAUAGCCAAUAAGAUGCAGC